This 167-nucleotide non-coding RNA is filed under the name unclassified sequences. The record is from RNAcentral.
AUAUGCAUUGCCUGUGAAGGUAGUGCAUAUUUUUCAUUGGAUCAUCAGAAGAUGACAAGCAUGUGGGGCGUAAGUAGUAUUUUUAUGCGGGAGAAGAAGAAUGGCAAUUGUUCUAAUUAGUACUGAUAAUUGCAAAUACUAUGAUCGUGCGGACGUUAAAAUCAUGC